RNAcentral lists this unclassified non-coding RNA (261 nucleotides) under uncultured fungus. RNAcentral's name for it is "partial contains small subunit ribosomal RNA, internal transcribed spacer 1, and 5.8S ribosomal RNA". The stretch from base 1 to 73 matches the Rfam family "Eukaryotic small subunit ribosomal RNA", at positions 1759 to 1831 of the family's 1831-position model. Lineage: Eukaryota; Fungi. The record is from RNAcentral.
GCAAACUUGGUCAUUUAGAGGAAGUAAAAGUCGUAACAAGGUUUCCGUAGGUGAACCUGCGGAAGGAUCAUUAUCAAAACAGCGGACUUCGGUCCUUGCUGCACCCUUGUCUUUUGCGUACCGUAUGUUUCCUCGGCGGGCUUGCCUGCCGGUUGGACAUUAUCAAACCUUUUUGUAGUUGCAAUCAGCGUCAGAAAAUAAACAAUAAUUACAACUUUCAACAACGGAUCUCUUGGUUCUGGCAUCGAUGAAGAACGCAGC